CAAUAUCUCCUGCUCAUUUCUUAAACGUUGCUCAUUCACUCUGUCGGAUCAUAGAUGCUGUUCUCCACCAAACCUACCACCUCUGGACUGCUUCAGUUUAUGGACACUUCUGCUCCCCUCCCUUUGUGGAUUCCCCCCUCUUGGACUCUGUUGUGCUCCUGUCUGUUUUGGAUUUACCUCAGCCUGUUUGCUCCUUCGGUUGUUAGUUUCCCUUAGUGCUACAAGUGAUGUUCAUCUGAAAAAGGCAGCAGUUCUCAAGGCACUUUGUCUCUGCCUUGGUGAGGAUGACAGACAUCUUAUCUACGAUUACAUAGACAUCGAGGGAAAUGACAUCCAGAGGGACAUGCAGGUGGCCGCCAUGGGCCUUUAUGUGAUCAAGAAGGAGGGUGGAGAGAGUGGACAAUAUGAUGACAUUGGAAUUUUUGUUGACGGGAUGAUAAUUCUGGACAACAUUGAAUCUGCAGCCCAAGCUUGCGUGGUGAUGCUUGGAGUAAUCUAUGCACUGAACCUACCCAAAGGAGCUGAGACGCUACUACGAAUUCAUUCAAAAAGUGCUCAUGGGUCUGGAUGGGGAUAAGCUCUGCCCCAAAGUCCAUGGGUUGCAGAACAAAAUCAGUGUUGGACCAUAGGAAUGCUUCAGCCACAGUUGCAAAGACAAAGCUGUUUUGUCCUUGUUAUUGGAAGUGAUGUGAAACACUGAACGAGUACGAAGGGAGUAUUUGCACAGACAUAGUUGAGUACGACCCUAAAUGUACUUAUAACCAGCCUGUUCUACCUGAUGGGGCAGCAACAAAGAAUCGCCACUCCUGUUGUUUAUUCUCCUCUUCCAGGCCAACACGUUAAUAUUCCUCAAGUCAUAUUUGCUUGCAUACAAUGUACUUUAUUUUGUUUCACUUUCUUUGGAAGUCUCUGCAGUGUAUUGCAUCACAGCCAGGAAAUCUGUGUUUUUUGUUUUCCUUCCUGUGAACCAUUCUGCUGUGACUUGUUUUGAGUUUUUCUCAUAAUGAACGGUGCUGGUGUAAGGCUUAUGUUUUUUGUUACUGAUGGGUUUACUAGGAAUGGUACAAAUGGAUAAAAAAGGAUAAUCAUAAUUACAUUCCUGAGACUUCUUAUUGAGAACAAAUCUGGUCUUAUUACCUUAUUAGUAUAUGGAAGUGUAGCAGAAUAUUUUAGUGGUCUUUUGAGAACAAACCGAGCCUCUUGGAUUAUCUAUUGCUGUUAUGCAUUUGCACACUGGGGGUUCUUGACAUAACAGUAUUUGAUUUGGUUCAUAAAAGUCAUUUUGAUUUGACAUCAUCAUUUUGUUAUUCUUUGAAUAUUGAAUUUACUGAUGGCAAA
Long non-coding RNA from Acanthochromis polyacanthus (spiny chromis), 1338 nucleotides. RefSeq lists it as uncharacterized. Lineage: Eukaryota; Metazoa; Chordata; Actinopteri; Pomacentridae. The record is from RefSeq and is a predicted model, not a curated record. The transcript is spliced from 3 exons.